GGGGAAUAUUGCACAAUGGGCGCAAGCCUGAUGCAGCCAUGCCGCGUGUGUGAAGAAGGCCUUCGGGUUGUAAAGCACUUUCAGCGAGGAGGAAGGGUUCAGUGUUAAUAGCACUGUUCAUUGACGUUACUCGCAGAAGAAGCACCGGCUAACUCCGUGCCAGCAGCCGCGGUAAUACGGAGGGUGCAAGCGUUAAUCGGAAUUACUGGGCGUAAAGCGCACGCAGGCGGUUUGUUAAGUCAGAUGUGAAAUCCCCGCGCUUAACGUGGGAACUGCAUUUGAAACUGGCAAGCUAGAGUCUUGUAGAGGGGGGUAGAAUUCCAGGUGUAGCGGUGAAAUGCGUAGAGAUCUGGAGGAAUACCGGUGGCGAAGGCGGCCCCCCUGGACAAAGACUGACGCUCAGGUGCGAAAGCGCGGGGAGCAAACAGGAUUAGAUACCCUGGUAGUCCACGCUGUAAACGAUGUCGACUUGGAGGUUGUGCCCUUGAGGCGUGGCUUCCGGAGCUAACGCGUUAAGUCGACCCCUGGGGGAGUACGGCCGCAAGGUUAAAAC
RNAcentral lists this ribosomal RNA (553 nucleotides) under uncultured bacterium. RNAcentral describes it as "partial 16S ribosomal RNA". It matches the Rfam family "Bacterial small subunit ribosomal RNA", at positions 356 to 900 of the family's 1533-position model. The record is from RNAcentral.